AAUUUGACGUUGCUGAUGAAGUGAAUAGGGUAUCCUACAAGAAUGUUGACAUAGGACUGGGUGCUGAAUCUGCCAUCAAGGUGAUGUAAUCAUACAACAGUUCCAGAGCUUUCUCUCUCUUGAGGCGAGAGAUGAGAGAUUCUCCUCCUUCCAGCCACUGAAGGAGCAACUUGAUGUCUUCCUGCAUUCAGCCCUCAGCAAGUCUUAUCCAGGGCUAUAUAAGUUUUCUCAGAGCCUUCUACUUCUGUCCCACGGACAAGCCACGGUUUAGAAAGAGGGUUUUCCAUCAACAAGGAGGUUGAAACAUGCAACAUCCUUGAAAAGUCGAUGGAAGCUUUGAGGCUGAUAUGUGACAAGAUCAGUGUCUGUGGGGGUGUUUUGAAGGUACCUCUCACAAAGGAGCUCAUGGCUUCAGUAGCCUGUGCAAGGUCAAGGUACAGGAGUUACCUGGAAGAUGAACGGAAGAAGAAACAGAGUUCCACACAGGACCUCAAAAGAAAAGCAGUGCAAGAGGAGAUAGAAGACCUGAAACGGAAACGAACGGUUCUGACAGAGGUGUGCGACUCCCUCCAAACAGAUGCUGAUAAUCUGGGACAUUAAUGGCACAACUGAUCACGAAGUCCAACAUCCUCAGAAAACGUAGUAAAGAAAAACGGAACGAAUUGGCCCAAACUGAGAAGCUGCUGGGAACAAAAUCAGAAGA
Megalobrama amblycephala (Wuchang bream) is the source of this 703-nucleotide long non-coding RNA. RefSeq lists it as uncharacterized. The transcript is spliced from 3 exons. The record is from RefSeq and is a predicted model, not a curated record. NCBI's taxonomy places the organism in Eukaryota, Metazoa, Chordata, Actinopteri, Cypriniformes, Xenocyprididae.